UUCCCCUAGUAACUGCGAGUGAAGCGGGAAAAGCUCAAAUUUAAAAUCUGGCAGCUCUUUUUUUUCUUCUUUGGCUGUCUGAGUUGUAAUCUAGAGAAGUGCUUACCUGCACUGGACCAUGUAUAAGUCUCCUGGAAUGGAGCCUCACAGAGGGUGAGAAUCCCGUCUUUGACAUGGACUGCCAGUGUGUUGUGGUGUGCUCUCAAAGAGUCGAGUUGUUUGGGAAUGCAGCUCUAAAUGGGUGGUAAACUCCAUCUAAAGCUAAAUAUUGGCGAGAGACCGAUAGCGAACAAGUACCGUGAGGGAAAGAUGAAAAGGACUUUGGAAAGAGAGUUAAACAGUAUGUGAAAUUGUUGAAAGGGAAACGCUUGAAGUCAGUUAUGUUGGCUAGGGAUCAACCUAGCUAUUUAUUGCUGGGUGAAUUUCCUAGUCUGACAGGCCAAUGUCAGUCUUGACUGCUAGAAAAGAGCAGAGGGAAUGUGGCACCUUUGGGUGUGUUAUAGCUCUUUGUCAUAUGUGGCAGUUGGGACUGAGGGAUGCAGCGUGCCGUGAGGCUGGGUUUCGACCACGUUCGCGCUUAGGAUGUUGGCUUUUAAUGGCUUCAAUCGACCCGUCUUGAAACACGGACCAAGGAGUCUAACAUGCCUGCAAGUGUUUGGGUGGUGAAAACCCUUGUGCACAAUGAAAGUGAAAGUUGAGAUCCCUGUCAUGGGGAGCAUCGACGCCCGGACCUGAGCUUUUAGCAAAGGAUCUGCGGUAGAGCAUGCAUGUUGGGACCCGAAAGAUGGUGAACUAUGCCUGAAUAGGGCAAAKCCAGAGGAAACUCUGGUGGAGGCUCGUAGCGAUUCUGACGUGCAAAUCGAUCGUCAAAUUUGGGUAUAGGGGCGAAAGACU
Molecule: ribosomal RNA, 894 nt
Filed under: Amanita paludosa
Lineage: Eukaryota; Fungi; Basidiomycota; Agaricomycetes; Agaricales; Amanitaceae
Description: LSU rRNA
Rfam family: Eukaryotic large subunit ribosomal RNA
Source: RNAcentral